UACGAGGGGGGCAAGCGUUGUUCGGAAUUAUUGGGCGUAAAGGGUGCGUAGGUGGUUCGGCAAGUCUUGUGUGAAAUCUUCAGGCUCAACUUGAAGUCUGCACAAGAAACUGCCGGGCUUGAGUAUGGGAGAGGUGAGUGGAAUUUCCGGUGUAGCGGUGAAAUGCGUAGAUAUCGGAAGGAACACCUGUGGCGAAAGCGGCUCACGGGACCAUUACUGACACUGAGGCACGAAAGCUAGGGGAGCAAACAGG
This 253-nucleotide ribosomal RNA is filed under the name uncultured bacterium. RNAcentral describes it as "partial 16S ribosomal RNA". It matches the Rfam family "Bacterial small subunit ribosomal RNA", at positions 524 to 776 of the family's 1533-position model. The record is from RNAcentral.